Molecule: ribosomal RNA, 468 nt
Filed under: uncultured bacterium
Lineage: Bacteria
Description: partial 16S ribosomal RNA
Rfam family: Bacterial small subunit ribosomal RNA
Source: RNAcentral
GACGAACGCUGGCGGCGUGCUUAACACAUGCAAGUCGAACGGAAAGGCCCUGCUUUUGUGGGGUGCUCGAGUGGCGAACGGGUGAGUAACACGUGAGUAACCUGCCCUUGACUUUGGGAUAACUUCAGGAAACUGGGGCUAAUACCGGAUAGGAGCUCCUGCUGCAUGGUGGGGGUUGGAAAGUUUCGGCGGUUGGGGAUGGACUCGCGGCUUAUCAGCUUGUUGGUGGGGUAGUGGCUUACCAAGGCUUUGACGGGUAGCCGGCCUGAGAGGGUGACCGGCCACAUUGGGACUGAGAUACGGCCCAGACUCCUACGGGAGGCAGCAGUGGGGAAUAUUGCACAAUGGGCUGAAGCCUGCUGCAGCAACGCCGCGUGCGGGAUGACGGCCUUCGGGUUGUAAACCGCUUUCGCCUGUGACGAAGCGUGAGUGACGGUACUGGGUAAAGAAGCACCGGCUAACUACGUG